AACGAACGCUGGCGGCAGGCUUAACACAUGCAAGUCGAGCGCCUCGCAAGAGGAGCGGCAGACGGGUGAGUACCGCGUGGGAACGUACCCUUAUCUUCGGAAUAGCUCUGGGAAACUGGAAGUAAUACCGAAUGUGCCCUUAGGGGGAAAGAUUUAUCGGAUAAGGAUCGGCCCGCGUUGGAUUAGCUAGUUGGUGGGGUAAAGGCCUACCAAGGCGACGAUCCAUAGCUGGUCUGAGAGGAUGAUCAGCCACAUUGGGACUGAGACACGGCCCAAACUCCUACGGGAGGCAGCAGUGGGGAAUAUUGGACAAUGGGCGCAAGCCUGAUCCAGCCAUGCCGCGUGAGUGAUGAAGGCCUUAGGGUUGUAAAGCUCUUUCACCGGAGAAGAUAAUGACGGUAGCCGGAGAAGAAGCCCCGGCUAACUUCGUG
Molecule: ribosomal RNA, 431 nt
Filed under: uncultured bacterium
Lineage: Bacteria
Description: partial 16S ribosomal RNA
Rfam family: Bacterial small subunit ribosomal RNA
Source: RNAcentral